UGAUUUCUGUCUUCACCAGCAGAGUCCUGUCAACAAGUAUUUUAAUUUGCUAAAGAUUGAAUUAACCAGUUGCAUGAUUGCAUGUGAGUGAAGCAAUAAAUUUGAAUUUUUUAGACUUCUCUUGCUCCUGAGAAACCAAGAGAAACCAUCUAAGAAAAGCAUCAGGUGUUCUAUGAAAAUUCAUAAAAUACAGCAAGAUAAAAGAGAAAUUUUAACAAUUCAAUGAAGAAAAUAGAGCAAAAGAGAUAAUGAGGGUGGAAAAGGUAGGAAGAAGUUGGAAGAAAUCACGUUAAUAUCCAAAAUGCCUACCAUAAAGUUUUAUGAAGGAGCUUCCUGUCUACCACCUGAAUGUUAGUCCCACUCCAGGGCCCGGAGCCUCUGCUUCUGCCCCCAAGAGGCUGCCUGAAGCAUCUUUCCACCAAGGCAGAUAGUAGUUACCAAUACUCCAGAAAGUGACAUCUUCUUUACAUUUUUUUCCAAUAAAAUAACGCAGUUACAGUUUGUGAAAAAUAAA
RNAcentral lists this long non-coding RNA (514 nucleotides) under Felis catus (domestic cat). Its description in RNAcentral is "lncRNA (ENSFCAG00000053173.1)". Lineage: Eukaryota; Metazoa; Chordata; Mammalia; Carnivora; Felidae. The record is from RNAcentral.